AAUAAACUGAUGAUGGUAAAGGGGAUGGAAGUUGAGUGUGUACCGUAUGUCCGGAUCUGGUUAAAAAGUGAUCACCCGCUCCGUAUGCUGCACGAAAACUAAAGCGGCUCCAGUUUUCAAAGACGAAAAGGUCCAGUGAAGCAGACAAAGAGUGGAUAGGAGGACAGUGCACCCUUGACAUCGAGACUGUGCCAUUCUCACUCAGUCUCUUAGGACAGGGAUGGAAAGAAGACCGACAGAUGCACCAAGCUGUGAGAUGAAGAGACCUUACAUCUGGAUGAAGAGACCUUAAACUGCACCCUGGACUCUGUUUGGCCCUAAGGAGAAUUCGAUAAAAGUUUAUACAAUUAGGAAGGUUUGUAGAACCAGUGAGGCUGUUCCCAUCCUGCAUGGAAUCCCAUGGAGCAUUUAGACUUAAGGACUUCAUAGAGCCCACUGACUCUUUCUGUAGGUCUCCCAGCAAAUCUUUCUUCUUUGGGAUAACCAACUACAAAGCAAAAAAGUCACAGUAAAUAUUAUUCAUCAGCAUAGUAAGAUAUGGGAAUAAAUCACUUGUUGCACACCUAUGCUAAAUAUUUUGCAUGUACAUACAAACAAUGUUUCUACCCAAUACAUCUCCAGAGGCUGUGAAGCACCAUAACAGAUACAAAACAAGAAAAGCAGCACUUUAUAUGUUCAGUGCAUAAUGUAAAUUGCCACAACAAAUCAGGCCCUGCUUUCUUUUAGUCCAGAAAAAAGAGGAUGAAGAAGAAGAAGAAACAGUGCAAGUAUCUUAUAUUCAAGUGUUCAUUUUUUGUGUUAUAUAUGGGAAAAACCUAUAAGCAGGCAUCUUACCAAUAUUGUUAAAUCCAUACGAUUCUCUUGCUUUUGCCUCUGUAUAUUCUGUGGUUGUCCAUUUUCCAUACCUAUUUGGAUCUACCUCUAUUAGAUCAAAAGGAGGCUCCCCAGCAAUUAUCCAGUCACUGAGAUAUUUUCCUAUGCCACCAGCGUGGAUUAUGCCAUAUCUGAAAAAAACAGACAAUUACAUCCCCAACUUAUUUAUUUAUUUAACUAACAUAUUUUUAUACCACCCAAAACUUACAUCUCUGGCUGAUUUACAACAAAAUAAAAACAGAAAGUAAAACAUUAGUUAAAACAAAAACAAAAAGUUUAAAACAUCACAACAAUUUAAAUUUUUUUAAACAAUAUUUUAAAACAGCAUUAAAACCAUUAAAACAAUAUUAAACCUGGGUGAACAGAUGCGUCUUUAAAGACUUUUUAAAAGCUGUCAAAGACGGGGAGGCUCUUAUUUCACUAGGGAGUUAUAUCACAAAACAUUUCAUCACAGGCCUUGAGGAUUAUAAACUCACUGCUAGAAAUUAUUAGUAACAUAGGAACCUGCCUUCUACUGAGUUGGACUAUUGGUCCAUCUAACUCAGUAUUGUCUACACAGACUGGCUGUGGCUUCCCAAGGUUGCAAGAGGUAACUUUGAACUUUCUGCAUACAGAUGCGCUUCCCAGAGUGGCCCUAUCACCUAAGGGGAAUAUCUUACAGUGCUCACACAUCAUGUAGUCUCCCUUUCAAAUGCAAACCAGGUUGGACCCUGCUUAGCAAAGGAGACAGGUCAUGCUUGCUACCACAAGACCAGUUCUCCUCCCUGUUCUUCUGCUUGUGCUAAUGAUUGACAAGCUUGAUUGGUAAUUAGAUAAUGUUUUAAUAGUUUGUUUAACUUUUUAAAUUUUAAAUUGUUGUAAUGUUUUAACCUUUUUAUUUGCAAUUUUUAUUUUGUUGUAAACCACCCAGAGACUUGCAUUUUGAGCGGUAUACAAAUAUGUUAAAUAUAAAUACAGACAUUCUAGUUUUCAGCUAGUGCAAACCUCAGUGAGUCAGACAAGGUCAACAAAAAAAAUUAUGAUUAGACUGGGAAAUCUGCGACAAAGGCUGUAAUCCGCUACACCUAGCGACUGCUCUCCCUAUCUUGGCAACUGCCUAGAGAUAGCUGUCCAAUCGUGCCCCCUCCCAUCCUGCCUGCCCAUGUGGACAUGUGCAAUUUUGCUUGUGCUUGCAAUGGUGACCCCACUUUCCUGGGGUCACUGGAAAUUGGGACUCCCCUCUCCGAUUCCCCAUGCCAGCAGAUUUGCAUGUGGUGUAAAGCCAGACCAAACUUGGGAAUUUUGAAUGGGAAUAAUGAUCCUUCCCUGUACCUGGUAUCCCCCCCACCCUGCCUGCAUCCACACAUGUGGCCAGGCUCUGACACAUGGAGCGACAAUAUCUACUUUAGUUGUGUGCAAAGGAUUCCCAGGGGAGGAGGGGGUAGCAUUGCAAUUUUUUUUAUCUUUGAUCAGAGUAGAGCCCCUUUUGUUGGGUUAGCUCAACUCAUGAGCAUGUAGUCUGAUGGAAGACCUAGGGUUUUGCACCCGAUGGUCCUCCCCAGUAGCCUGGCUCUCUCAUGAGAAUGAAAGCCCACUGUCAGCAAGCUGCCAGCAGAACAGAAGUGUGGUUUGGUCUGCAUGGACUGCAGCUCUCAUAAAGUCAUGCCGGGACAGACCCCCAAGGAUCUUUGAUCCCUUGGCCUCCCUCAUAUACAUAUCCCCUCCUAAAGAUAAUCAUGUUCCCUUCCCUAUCCUGAGUAACAGGGAUAUAGUGCCCCACAACCCCCCCCCUUCGAAACCUUGUUUGUGCGGGACUAUUUUGGUACAGGACUCUUGUGGGGGUGGCAGUACCAAUGCUGUCAGAAGAAGGGAUUUAAAUGCCCUUUCCCUGCUGAGGACAGGCGGACCGGAGAGGAGAGCUGGUCCUGUGGUAGCAAGCAUGACUUGUUCCCUUAGCUAAGCAAGGUUGUCCUGACUGCAUAUGAAUGGAAGACUAGAAGUGUGAGCACUGUAAGAUAUUCCCCUCAGGGAAUGGAGCCGCUCUGGGAAGAGCAGAAGGUUCCAAGUUCCCUCCUUGGCUUCUCCAAGAUAGGGCUGAAAGAGAUUCCUGCCUGCAACCUUGGAGAAGCCGCUGCCAGUCUGUGAAGACAACACUAAGCUAGAUAGACCAAUGGUCUGACUCAGUAUAUGGCAGUUUCCUAUGUUCCUAUGUUAUACUGUUCUGAAAAUGCAUGAUCACGUUUGGCAUGCCCCCUUCAAGAUCGUGGCCAAUCGUGACUGCUCUGCUGAUAUGCUGACACUUUGGACACAGUCUGGCCAUGGAGCUUGCUGGGAUCAGCCUCAGCGGCCAAGAAAGACGGAGGGGCUUCCCUCUCCUGAAACCAGAAGUUGCUAAACUGUGAUUGGACAAACGCCUGUGAUACAAUUCAUGGUUUCAAAAUGAAACCACAGAUUUGUCGACCUUGGUUUUACGUUACAUCUGAAUGCAGCCAAUGUGUCUAUGUCACCAUGUGUUCAUGCAGUAGGUAACUGCUGCUUCUAACUGCAGCUUCUCACUGCAUAUACACAUGACAAAACGUCACAUAGAUAUUAUUAUUAUUAUUAUUUAUUUUAUAUAUGUGCAUGACAUAUGCAAGCAUCAUGUAAUUCCCUACAAGGUAGUGUAUUCUGUCUUAUGAAAUACAUCUUAUAUGAAGCAGCCUUCAAAGGACAAUCCUGUGUGUGACUAUAUGUCCAUCUUAGCCAUUCAUCUAUAAAAUGAGAAAAAUAGAGACCUCAUAUAUGAUUGCUGAGAAGAUGAAUGAGAUCUUUAAAAAUUGGAUAGCUGUGCUAAGCCUUACAGUUAGGGCACACUAUACAUUUUAUACAUUUAAAUUAAUAAUAAAACAAUUGCAACAAGUGGAGCUUACAUGACAAAGCAGAAUUAAUAUGAUUAGGACUGUGCACUUCAGUAAAAGUUGGAAUUCUACUUUGGAAUUCCCAGCCCCCACCACUAGGAGGCAGCUCCACACAGGGGCUGCAUUCAGAGUGGGUGGAACCUUCCUGAUCCAACCUGAGCAGGAUCUAAAAUUAUCUGAAUGGACAUCCAAAAACUUGUGUGUGCUCACACAAGUGCAUGUCUUGGAAGGAAAACUGAUGCGCACACAUAUACCCACUUAACUGUGAAUAAGCCUUGUUGAAUUCAAUGGGACUGGCUCAGUCUGGGGGGAGGGAACAAUUGCCCAGUUAUGCCCAACCUUCAGACACCAAUGUUUAUUUCUACUAAUGGUUUAUUUCAUUUGAAAUUUUACAAUGUAUUGUCCAAAACAUUAGGAUAUUUAUUAAGCUAGGAAAACUGCCUUCCACUGAUGGAAUUUCCAAAAUGGACAUGAUACAGAUGUUGAGAAUGAUUUAGGAAUCCUUAACUGAUUUUCAAUAAGGUCAACAGCAGAAUUGUCAUUUGCUAUCAUAGCACUAUAGCCAGGUCAAAAUACUACCCUAUUUACUGGAAGGGUGAUGUUCUGAAGUCUGUGCUGUGGACUGUUUGAAAAUUUUCAUUUUAACUUUUUAUCAAAUACCUUCAGAUUCUUAAAGAAAAAUGUAUUUUGACACUAAUACAGUCUGCAGUGAUUAAUCUUUCUUAUUUUAAAAAACUGGAAAACUGUGUAAUCUUAGAUAUGACAGUGAAGCUAUUCACAUGAUUGCUCAAAACUGGGCUGGGCUCCCUUAGCUCAGUUCUGAGCAAACGUGAAAACCACUAGGCUCGUGGGUGAGCCCGGUGGUUCUCGGCCGGCUAGCCUGCCUAACUACCCCUCACCCUAAACAAGGUUAAUGGAGCAAGCCCUCCGUCAACCUUGUUUAUUUGAUCAUGUGUCAAAUGACACACUGGGGUGGGGGGGAUCCCAGGAAGCCACCGUGCACUCACACGGUGCCUUCCUGAAGUUUGGGGAGCCGGGGGGCCACAUGGUGGUGCUCUCCUUCCCCAGAGCUCCCGAAGGAGCUGCGGCCGGGCGCGGGAGUACCCAACUGGAGCAGCCACUCAUCUGGGCAGCCAAUCUGGCCACCCAGCAACGAGCAACUGUCCGUGUUCAGAGAGAGUGGGCUAAGCCCGCUCUCCCCACACAAACCCUGUCUGGCGCUUCACACCAAUCAUGUGAAGUGCCUCAUAUGUAAAGAGAAUAAAAGAUAAGCAGUUAGGCUGUGGACUAAAGAUUAAGUGAUAAGAGAACGUGCAAACAUAUUAUAGUUCUAGUUACACUUCACUGGAACCAAAUUCAUCUUGCCCAGUUUUUCUUGAACAACUAUUGCAUGAGGUUACCUGAGUGUUAACUGUGGUUUACAUACUACAAUUAAAUCUGCAUUUGAAACCAAAGCGGAAUGUUUUAAAUGCUGGUUUAAUCUUGGUUUGUAAAUGCCUUUUUUCCAGGUAAAAACCCAGGUUCUGAUGAUCCACAGACAUUUGGUUUAAACUUCCAUGAUUGCACCAUAAACAAAAUUCAGCAAAAGAGCUGGGAAGGGGAAGGGGAAGGGGAAGCAGGAAGCAUGUGGGCCUGGGCAUGUUGGUUUAUUCAGUCAUGCCAUGUAUUGUGCUUCUGUACAAGCCAGCCUGUUUCAGUCUCAGAUGGGGUUGCCUGCAUCUCUAAGGAGGCAUGAGCUGGGAUUGCUGUAACUAACACAGGGGCGUAAGUAUAAUAGGGCAAGGGGAGACAGUUGUCUGGGGGCCCCCUGCCUUGGGGCCCCCCCAGAAGCAAUUCACAUGACUGACUCCCCCAGCUGUGCACCCGCCUGGGCUUCUUUCAGUUGUAUUCAUCCUCUGAAAUUGAUGUGAGUGUUAAGACCUGGAGCUACCAGAACAGCAUGUCUUUCUCUAGUACCAUUAAAUGACUCGCAUCGUCCACAAUUUACAAAACCAUUUGGAGCUGAGCUUCGGG
Molecule: long non-coding RNA, 5762 nt
Organism: Hemicordylus capensis (graceful crag lizard)
Lineage: Eukaryota; Metazoa; Chordata; Lepidosauria; Squamata; Cordylidae
Exons: 5
Source: RefSeq, a predicted model, not a curated record